AUGGACCAAUCCAUCCCUUUUUCCCAUUCAUAUGCAUUGGACUCGGAUGAUGAUGGUACCGAUGAAGAAGUUGAUGAGGAGGGGUUCACGCCGAAGGAGGCCGAAGCAUGUAAGAAGGUCUUCCGGCGGGAUCACAAGACACCAUUGUUCAAGGAUCUUAGUCUCGCGGAUGAAGCCGUUGUAGAUGGUGGCAAAUGUAUAUCUGUUGGAGGUAGGCCAAGUUCUCACCGUGAUUUGGAAGACGGCAAGAACGGGAUAUAUCCUGGUUGUGAGUUUGAAUCCUUCUUGAAUUGA
This 294-nucleotide ribosomal RNA is filed under the name Triticum aestivum (bread wheat). Its description in RNAcentral is "partial small subunit ribosomal RNA". Lineage: Eukaryota; Viridiplantae; Streptophyta; Magnoliopsida; Poales; Poaceae. The record is from RNAcentral.